Molecule: ribosomal RNA, 250 nt
Filed under: uncultured Pseudomonas sp.
Lineage: Bacteria; Pseudomonadati; Pseudomonadota; Gammaproteobacteria; Pseudomonadales; Pseudomonadaceae
Description: partial 16S ribosomal RNA
Rfam family: Bacterial small subunit ribosomal RNA
Source: RNAcentral
CGGGUGAGUAAUGCCUAGGAAUCUGCCUGGUAGUGGGGGACAACGUUUCGAAAGGAACGCUAAUACCGCAUACGUCCUACGGGAGAAAGCAGGGGACCUUCGGGCCUUGCGCUAUCAGAUGAGCCUAGGUCGGAUUAGCUAGUUGGUGAGGUAAUGGCUCACCAAGGCGACGAUCCGUAACUGGUCUGAGAGGAUGAUCAGUCACACUGGAACUGAGACACGGUCCAGACUCCUACGGGAGGCAGCAGAG